This 253-nucleotide ribosomal RNA is filed under the name uncultured bacterium. Its description in RNAcentral is "partial 16S ribosomal RNA". It matches the Rfam family "Bacterial small subunit ribosomal RNA", at positions 524 to 776 of the family's 1533-position model. The record is from RNAcentral.
UACGGAGGGAGCUAGCGUUGUUCGGAAUUACUGGGCGUAAAGCGCGCGUAGGCGGGCUGUUAAGUCAGAGGUGAAAUCCCGGGGCUCAACCCCGGAACUGCCUUUGAUACUGGCAGCCUAGAGGUCGAGAGAGGUGAGUGGAAUUCCGAGUGUAGAGGUGAAAUUCGUAGAUAUUCGGAGGAACACCAGCGGCGAAGGCGGCUCACUGGCUCGAUACUGACGCUGAGGUGCGAAAGUGUGGGUAGCAAACAGG